CCUACGGGAGGCAGCAGUGAGGAAUAUUGGACAAUGGGCGAAAGCCUGAUCCAGCCAUGCCGCGUGCAGGAUGACAGCCCUACGGGUCGUAAACUGCUUUUAUACGGGAAUAAACCCCUCUACGUGUAGAGGGCUGAAGGUACCGUAAGAAUAAGGAUCGGCUAACUCCGUGCCAGCAGCCGCGGUAAUACGGAGGAUCCAAGCGUUAUCCGGAUUCAUUGGGUUUAAAGGGUCCGCAGGCGGGAUAUUAAGUCAGUGGUGAAAGCCUACCGCUUAACGGUAGAACUGCCAUUGAUACUGGUAUUCUUGAGUGUAGUUGAAGUAGGCGGAAUAAGUCAUGUAGCGGUGAAAUGCAUAGAUAUGACUUAGAACACCGAUUGCGAAGGCAGCUUACUAAGCUAUUACUGACGCUCAGGGACGAAAGCGUGGGGAGCAAACAG
RNAcentral lists this ribosomal RNA (440 nucleotides) under uncultured bacterium. Its description in RNAcentral is "bacterial SSU rRNA". It matches the Rfam family "Bacterial small subunit ribosomal RNA", at positions 338 to 775 of the family's 1533-position model. The record is from RNAcentral.